This is a long non-coding RNA of Daphnia magna, 8467 nucleotides long. RefSeq lists it as uncharacterized. The transcript is spliced from 3 exons. NCBI's taxonomy places the organism in Eukaryota, Metazoa, Arthropoda, Branchiopoda, Diplostraca, Daphniidae. The record is from RefSeq and is a predicted model, not a curated record.
AGAAGCCUAUAAUUUGUAGCAGACGGCCCAUUUAUCCCCUUACCCAUUCCUCUCAGUUCCCUGUUUGUACCCCGAGGCCCUGGCGUAGCCUCACUAGAGGGCGCAAGCGGCCCAAAAGGAUUGUCUCUCAAGGGUGUGUAGUAGUUAGUUGUGUGUACUGACGUGUAGCUGAACGUCAUCUCGUUUCACGUGUGUGAGAUCGAAACCUAAGGAAGGGUUGCGGCGUAUGCCUGGCCACUUCCGCUGGAUGGACUAUGUGGGGGAGUUGAGCGGAUGGAUCAGAAGAUGGAUCGCAUUCGUCAUGAAUCUCACUGGUACACUGUUCUAGCAACAGGCGAGUAAGCUCUAGCAUAUGUGGGCUCUCAGAUGCCAGUCGACGAUUUGAUUUUCCUGUUGUUGUGCCAGAGAUAUCGGAAAAGCUUUUCACAUUUCCGGGAACUUCCGCCAAAUUGUCUGGAUGGUCUACUACCCGACCAUGGAAAGGCGAUAUAAUAGGAAUCUCUUUGUCCACUGGCACGACGGAUUCAUCAACAAUCACUGCUUUGUGUAAUUUGAGCAAAUCUUCACAUCUGCGUUCCAAAUCACUGUUCGUAAGAUCAACGUUCCAUCGAUUUUUGAUGCUGAGCAAAUCUUCGACCUGUUCGUAAGGCUCUUCGUCAUCCAUCUGACCUUCUUCUAAUUCUUCCUCCUCGGGACUUUUAAAUUUUUUGGCUUUGAGGUUAAUGGGUUCUUCGAUCGCUUCUGCGGUGUCUCCUCUACAGACAAAUUUGGGUCCAAAUUCUUUCACUUUGCAAGCGUUUUCUUCUUCCUCUGAACCAUCGUCCGUAUCACUGUCAUUCAUGCUUUGAUCACUAUUAUAUGAGCCAUCUGAAAAAUUGCUUAUCAAUUCCGAUGGUGACUUCGGCCGGUACUGGGAGAAUUCCUUUGAUUUUGGCUCAUCCCAGGAUCCAACGUAAUCUUGUGUUCCCACGCCGAACUUAGGGAGGGAUCCUUCAAGUCCAGAAAUAUCAACCACCGGUUUAGACCAGUCAAAAUCUGCUCCAUUAUCAUUGGUCAGCAGAGCUACUGCUUGAAGAUCGCUAUAGUCAUAGUCUUCAUCGACCGUUUCUCCCGUUCCUGUACGUCAAAAUCAAAAUAGUACUGAUUAUGACAUCUAGCGAUCCAACUUGCUAUAACGUAUUACCAUUCUGGUUGUUGCCAUCAAUCGUAUCCGGGUUCCAUACUCCGAUAUCCAAUAAAGAAGCUCCUGUGCUUUUUUUCGCUUCCUUAUUUUCUCUUUUCUGCGGCUUUGAAGGCGAUUUCGGUACGUUGUUGACUUCGGUUUCAUCUUUUGGCUGAUUAAUUUCUUCAACGUUUUUAGCACUGACUGCCUUUUGAACUGGUGGUAAUAUGGGAUCUGAGGAUUUGCAUUUCCAAUCAAAUCGUAAGGCGGGCCAGCGGAAAUCUAAACAAAACAACAACAAAAAACAAAUUAACAAAAAAAACAAACAAACAAACAAAGGAUUACAAACACGAGCUAACUUAAAUUAACCUAUCACUACGAACCAGGGUCAAGCUGACUCUUUCCCAGAGAGAUUUCCAUCGCUACUUUGCAGCGGAGUUGUUCUGCCAGGAGGAGACCGUUCAAACGGUAAAGAAUGCACGGUAAACUAAACAUGGGCGCAAAUAACCAGAAAAGAUAUGGAAUUGUUUUUAUCAAAACGUAAAGAAAUUUUGUCUAAAGAAGAAAUUAAUAAAACGAAUAUUAAAUAAUUAACGACAUUUACCAAACUGCUUGUCUCCACAGAGAGGCCGAAAAAGGAUGGAUACUGCACAAUUCAGGCACCAGUAUUUGCUUUUGUUGCAGGCUUUCUCUUUGGGUCUUUUUUGUAUGCUCCGAACUAGUUGGAAGCAUUACUCCUUUUCGGUUCACAUACCUGUGUACGAAUUACAAAUAUGCAAACAAAUGUAUAGAACAUUGGUAACAACAAAGAAAAACCUCAUACGCACCUUGGCGUUAAGAAGUUUAGUCUAGCUGAAGUGUGAUCCACGUCCAAGAGCGGCUGCUUCAGAUUCUGUAUUUGGAUCCCAUAUUUAUGGCGGUAAUAUUUUUCGAAUGUUGGAUAGUUGUUAUCAGGAAAUUUAGACUGAGGGUUGAGUUCAUAGAAUAUCUCAGCAACGUAGAAACAUUGUGGAUGUUCUUGAUCACGGUACCAUUUCAUUACGACCGCAUCAGCAAACAAGCGGGGAUCAAAGACAUAACCGGUUCUCUCUUCGUCUGCUACCAGCUGAGGUUUCGCGUCUCGAACGGAUGAAAUUAAAUCGAUGAAUGCAAAAUCCAGAUUUAAGGGGGCGUUUUCCGCUAACGAAUUUCUCUUUAAAGGCACGAUUAGAUAGGAACAGUCGGCGUGAAAAACAUCUAACAACAUUGGAUCCUUUUCCAAGGAAAGCACGUUUCGGAAGAUGUAGCGUUGAAAAUCUGUUAUUUGUUUUAAUUGCUCCUCGGUCACAUAGACUUCAUCGGCGAUUUUUACUAUUUGCACUUCCACCUCGCCUGACCGAGUGAAAAUAGGAAACGGACAAAUUUGCGAUAGCGGUUUACUAUUCAAAAUUCCCAAACUCUGCAGGGAGGUCUCAGGUUUGUAAAUUUUUCUCCCACGCGUGUUUUGCUCCUCAGGUAUAGGCUCACUUAAUACCUAGUAAAUUUUUUUUCAUUAAUGAUCUAUUACUUUAAUGUAACACAAAUACCAUGGUGAUCGCGUAUAAGUAACAGGGUUGGUUGGGACGUGCAAUACCAUCGAUAAACGGCUCGGCCACUUGCUUAUAAUAGUACUGCCUUCGUUUCGUAGUGCCCGGACGUGGCAGAUUGUCGGGAACGAUUUCGUCUUCCAAAUCUGCGUUGUAAUCCUCCUCCUCUUCCAGUCGAAGGUUUUCCUUCCCAGUGGGAUAAAAGUUAUCGUCCAGCUCUUUUAGCUGAUGCAAUAACCGACACGCUUCUAGUGCUGCGGAUCGUUUGGCUAUAACUUUCGAUGGCAUCGGAAGACCUGACACAGUUUGCCGCAGAGGAGAAUUUAUUGGUAGUUGUAAUGAGCACACAUACGCUACAUCCAUGCGCAUUUUCCCGGCUGCAUCGCUUUUCUGAAAUAGUUCGGACCAUUUGUCCCAAACAGAUGGGUCAACGUAUUCUCGCAUUAUUGUUCGUAUUUUCCAAACAGGAAUAAGGCGCGUGAAACAAUCACUGGGCAACUUUGCGCAAUAUCUAAAAAUAUUUAUCUUUCUGCAAUUUACAGUCGUUUUCAUUUCAAACCCAUGUGCGCUAUACCUGUUAAUGAUGGAAAUGGCGUUUUGUAAAGACGCAUAUGAUUUUGAAGCGUCACCAGGUGUGUACGGUUUCUCAAUAUUAUUGAGCAUAUCUUCACUGUGAUUGACGAACUCGGCCAAAGAGUUGUGAUAGCCACUUUUACUUAGCAGAAUUUGUUCAGUGGCAUGGAAGUGAGAGAGAUUCACCAGAAAUUCAUCCAUGCGCUCCUUCUCGACCAUCAGAAUAUAAUGGGAUUUUUUGGCGCGCGCUCGAGCCUUUGAAUGAACAUACGCACGGUAAGUUUGUGGCAAAUCGUAUCGGAUAACCAGAUGGCACGCUGGAAUAUCAAUACCAUCCUCUAGAACGCUCGUGGCUACGAGAAUAUUACAGUCGCGACUGCGAAAACGUUUCAUAACGUCUUCUUGCUUUCGAUCUUCACUUUCUAUUUCCUUGACGGUCAUGCCUUCGACCCGAUCAACGGUAUAUAGAGGGCUUAGAUACGCUAACUGAGGGUCGCAUCGACUUGCAUCCUAGACAACAAUAAAUUAAGAUAUUUCAUCGAGUAAGGCCAAUGUAACAUCAUCUUUUGUUUACCUUUAAAAGAUGAUAGAGUAGUUUGGCUGUGGUGCGCCUUUCAGUGAAAAUCAUUCCACAUAGCUGAUAAGCGUCUUCUCGAAUACGGUGGUGACGAGCAGGGAAAUCAGGACGCCUACGACGACUUACGUGACCCGACUGAGUUGUUGGCCGACGCACAAAGGACGGGCCAUUCUCAGGUAACUCUACGGUCGGUAAUGUUUCCGUGGACAAUUUUUGAACUUGAUCAGCGAGAUCGUCGGCAUGAACUAAUACGGUGGAAUCGGUUUGCUCUGUUGGAUCAUUGUUUCCAGGCAAUUUUGAAGUUAUUGGUGGUCGAUAUAUACGGAGUAUGUCCAACAGACGAAGAACUUUAGGGUGGCUAAACUUUUCUAUACGUUCAUAUUCGGAAUAUCCCUGAAACUCUUCUUCGCACAAUGACCUACAAAAUGGAACAUAAAGAAUGAAAAAAUACUUUGAUAUCAGUACCAUUAGAAAGCCAACCGUAUUUCAAGUAAAACUGUGAAGACUAAGCACAAAAGAAGAUAGUGUCUUUCAUAAACUGCUUUGGUUUUCAAUUUCUCUAAAUGAAUGAGGUAAACCAGAGCAGCACGGUCUGCUCCCCAAGGACCUAAGAUAACGAAAUAGUUCUGAGUUGUAACCGAGAUAGGGGUACAUUCUUUCUAUAAAAAAAAAAACGAAUAAAUACAAAGAAAGUAAAACAAAACCCUGCUACACAAACAAAACAAUAUUUGCAAUAACUACAACCACUAGCAGUAACCGACAUUGAUUAAUUAAGAUAUGCUCUAUCUUUUACCAAAAUUUUGAAUGAUUUGGAUAUACUCUUCAAGUAGAUCAACAGGUUCAAGGCAGGGAUCGGGAAUUUCUUUAAGGUAGUCUUGCUCUCCAUAAUACUCUAUGGGAUCAUACCGAUGAUCUCGAAGAUAACUACUCAACUGCUGGACGCGAUCCAUGAUUUCUAGCUCGAGCCGAGUGGCUUCAGGCUUUGAGGAUAUUUCACACACUAAUUCUUUGGGGCGAGUUGAAUGCCUAUAUUCGAUCCACAAUUUAAAUAGAAGAGGAUAGAAAUCAUAAUUUUAAGUCUGUCAUAUGGUUCCUCACUGUAAUGCUGAUAAAACAUUGUUUGAUGUUGAAAUAGCUGAUUGCAAUUUGUUUUCCAGAAUAGUUAUCAAUUGGGAUAGUUCCAUUGGCUUGCAUAUGUUAUUCACUAUUGAUGCAGUCAAUCCCAGGAUUCUUGGAUGUAGACUGUUGGCUGACUUUUCAUAUAAAGCCAAUAUUUUUUUCAAAGCUUCAUCAUUCAUAACAUUAUGGCAGUCAUCCAAUAUCAACAAAUUAAGCUUGCUCAUUUCAAGGAAGUCUUUCUGGAUAGCCUCAAGGAAAACCUGAUAAGUCAUAACAAGCACUUGGCUUUUUCCCAACUCAUCUUUCCAUCUAGAAUAAGGAACAAUGGAUGUGGUAUCAAAAAUUUUCGAAAUACUCAUGUGCUUAGACAUACCUCUGACAGCUCCAUUUUAUUACUCCUUUUUUCUCAUGAAAAAUUCCCACCUUCAAAGGAGUGUGAUGACGUAAGUAGGCAGAUCGCUGAAGUGCCAAUUUAACUGUUGGCGUAAUGUAUACUGAGGAGAAACCUCCUAGUUGUAGUGGUGAACUGAUUGAGAUCAUCAGGAACACAUCUUAGAAUAUAGAGAAUAAUAAGAAAACAUACCUGCAAACUUCAAAAGCUUUUUCACGAAUUAACAUUACAGCAACAAACAUUUUUCCCAAAUCUGCUUUUAAACAUGCAAUGGUGUUUUUGGAUUUGGCAGAUUCAAAAAGUUCCACCUGUAAAAUUAGGGAACACAAUUAUAAAUUUCAUAAAAUUUGACAGACAACUAUGAUUGUACUGUGGUUUAAAAGAGGAAAAACUAUGUAUUAAAGAUUAGAAAAUUUUAAACCUCAGAAUCUCUUGGCGUAAAAUUGUCACUUGUUGAUAAAUCCAUCAUUAAUGGUAACAUCAUCCCUGUGUGUGUCGUUAAGUGAAAUAACAAUAGGUUUCAAUUCACGUAGUGUGGGAAAGAGCUGAACCACUACGUUAAAAAGCUUUUGUUUACAGCGUAACAGCAUGGCCUUUCGGCAUGGGCUCUUGCGUUAUGUAGACAAGCAGGGUUGGCGCUAUUCCAACGACAUUUUCUUUGCACAACUUCUGCAGUGUGCAGUGUGCACUUAAAAAGUUAAAAACAGGGCUCGGCCGGUCGGCCCCGCGUCAAUCGGGUAGCUUUUUCGCCGAUCAAAGAUCGUUUUGUGUUUCGGGGUGACUUUUUUUUCCCUGUCAAUGGGCAUUUGGGUCGGCUUCCGGGUCUAACCUGGUGCAAAGAAAGAGCAAACGGGUUCCGAUACGCGGUUACAUACCCCGAUCCAUUUUUGGCAAAGAUUUAUCGAUCAAACUUUUCGCCAUCUAGCGGAAACAUUUGUAUUCGCAUUUAAAGUUACCGUGUGCGGAUGAUCACUCCUGGUUUAAUUUUUUUUCGCGGUUUUUGUUUCUUAAAGCCAGUAUCAACUAUCAAGGCUUUGUAAAUGAAAGCAGGAUUCCAAAAAUCACGAUCAUUUGAUAAGGGAUAAUCAAAACAAAGGUUGCUAGAGCAAAAAGGGAAGCACACACACAUAUAUAUAUAUAUAUAUAUAUAUAUAUUUAAUUAGCACGCACGACGAACAGAAUCCCCAUCUAUAAAGUUCUUGCAGCUUUUACGGCAGCCAGAACGAUAUUUUUCAUGAGCAUCACUACAGUCAUAGGACCAACUCCGCCUGGUACUGGGGUAAUCCAACUGGCUCUCUUUCUAGCUUGCUCAAAAUCCACAUCGCCCACAAGUCUAGACCCCGACUUUCUUGUUGCAUCUGACGGGCGAAUUUCAGUUAGCCAAGAAACAAGUAGAACGGGAUAUAUGGCAUUACCAGGAAUAGAAGUUAUACCGCAAUCUAUCACAACUGCUCCUUUUUUAAUCCAUUCACCCUUUAUUAAAUUAGGUUGACCAAUGGCAACUACAAGUAUGUCUGCAUUAGCAACCUGUAUCAUCAUAGUACACAAAACACGUUAUUAUCUCAACAAAAGCUUUUAAAGAACAUUUCUGCUUACUACUUCAUCCAAGUUUUUUGUUUUAGAAUGGCAAGUUGUAACAGUUGCAUUGUGCCAUUUAAAUAGUUCGGAAACUGGUGUUCCAACUAUCCUGCUUCUACCGAUUACUACGGUAUGGCUUCCUUCGAUCUUCGUGCCUGAUCUGGAUACCAUUUAAUCAAUAUAUUGCCUUCCCCUACAAAACAAAAAAAGAUACCUUUUAACUAAUUCUAGGCAUCCACUGGGAGUACAAGGGAGAAAUCCAGUAGCCAGGUCACCUACAGCUACCUUGCCUUGGUUCCUUGAGUUCAGGCCAUCAACAUCUUUGUUGGGAAACACAGAAUCUGUAAUUAGAUUAGAAUUAAUGGAGUUCACACAGUCCAAUGGCAUCUGGACAAUAACUCCAUGAACAUGGGGAUCUAAGUUUAGAUGAGACAAGAUCCCCAAAAGCUGUUAGAAAACCAAUGACAAUUUAGUGUGGUAUAGAACAUUUGCACAAAUAAAGGGUUUUAUGUAUAUGAACAUAAUUAUGUAUUACCUCAAUCUCAUUUGUAGAGGAUGGAAGGACAAUGUGUUUAGCUAUGAUCCCAAUAUUUUUAGCUGCUUUUAAUUUCAUCUUCACAUAAACAUUUGAAUCUUCUCUGGCACCAACUUGAACAAUGGCAAGCUGGGGUAUUAAGCCAGAAUUCUGCACUUUCAGUUUUUUUACUUCUUGGCUUAGGGUCAGAAGGAUUUCUCUAAACUUAAUUUUGAUGAAUAAUCUUAAGAUAAUUAAAUCAAAUUUUAAAUAAUUUCACUUUGCAAUGUCAGAACCAGACAGCAACCUUCCAUAUUCUUUUGUUUUGAUGAGGAGUGAAGAAGACUGAGAGGAAAAUUUAUUUCCAUUAAUAAUUUGCUGUAAUAUACAAAAUUUGGUUGACAGUAUAUAUAACUAGAAUGGAAAUGUAUAAAUAAAUGUAAAAAUAGCUUCUAAAAUGUAAUAGAAGAAAGAACCAAGAUGGUUAACGAAUGACUGAUUCAGUUGCCUUAUAAUAACAACGAAGCCUGCGUUCUGCGAAUCCAACUAACACCCUUGGCUGACAACAAGACAACAUUUUCAGGACACUCCUCACUGUUGUUUCGUAGCUUUACGGUUUGAGGCGAGGAAAGAAGAUUUCGUCUUAUCUUUAAUGGAAUACAGGAAAUUCUAAUCUAUGGAAAUGGAUCUCUGCAAUGAAGCUAAAAUGCUGAAAAUGGAGUUGGUCUCCGCGAGACGGUCUCGAAGAGUCGAGACCGUCACCGCUACAUCCCAGUGGGACUAUCCCGGCCCUCUGAUUGGCUCCCUCAACCGUUAUACCCUUCCAUGUAUUUCUGCUUUCCGCUCCCACAUUUUCCUGAUACACACAGCGUGGUUUUCUGUGGGAGUGGAGUUCACGCUUUGAUUUGUUUGUUUCUUUGUGUAUUUAUAUUAUUUACAUUUAUUGUUUGCUGUUUGUUAAGUUUUACAAAUACAACAUUUUUACUUA